AUGUCUGCUUCGUCGGGCUAUGUUGUUGUGCCUCGCUGUCCGGUGAUCUUCGAUGGUACUAACUACACCGAGUUCACUGGCUUCAUGCACAUUCACAUGCGUGGCAUCCGUCUCUGGGGCGUUCUUUCUGGCGAGUUCUGCUGUCCGCCCCGUCCGGUUCCUCCGGUGGCCCCUACUCCGCCGACUCCCCUGGUUCUUCCUCCGGAUGCUAAUCAGGCCGCCAAGGAUGCGACUAAGAUUGCUGAUGAGGUUGCUGAUCGUGCCUAUGAUGAGAGGGUUUUGGUUUAUGAGGAGGCUCUUCAGACGUAUCAUGGUGCUUUGUCUGUUUACACCUAG
Molecule: ribosomal RNA, 336 nt
Filed under: Triticum aestivum (bread wheat)
Lineage: Eukaryota; Viridiplantae; Streptophyta; Magnoliopsida; Poales; Poaceae
Description: partial small subunit ribosomal RNA
Source: RNAcentral